This 309-nucleotide long non-coding RNA is filed under the name Struthio camelus australis. RNAcentral describes it as "lncRNA (ENSSCUG00000016449.1)". The record is from RNAcentral. Lineage: Eukaryota; Metazoa; Chordata; Aves; Struthioniformes; Struthionidae.
GGGGGGGUCUCCCCCCCCAGCACGAGUGAGGGUUGAGCUGGCCUCUCCCACAGUGAUGCCGAACCUGUCCUGGGAUGAGGAGGAGGAGGCGGCAGAGGAGGAAGAGUCUGCAGAGGAGUCCCCCGAGAAGCCCCCCAAGGCCCAGGCUGCCAAGAAGGGCAGCGUCGCCAAGAAGAGGAGGCUGGAGAAGGACGAAGAGCUGAACAGCGUCUCCUCCGAGGAUCCCCUUCCCAGCAAGGGGCGAGGAGCAGGCAGGGGGAAGAAGCCAGCAGCAAAGAAGUAGUGUGAGCUACAGCAGGGCCUGGCCAG